UUUAGAGGCCUGUGUCCAAAUC
This 22-nucleotide non-coding RNA is filed under the name Arabidopsis thaliana (thale cress). The record is from RNAcentral. Lineage: Eukaryota; Viridiplantae; Streptophyta; Magnoliopsida; Brassicales; Brassicaceae.